AACGAACGCUGGCGGCAUGCCUAACACAUGCAAGUCGAACGAGACCUUCGGGUCUAGUUGCGCACGGGUGCGUAACGCGUGGGAACCUGCCCUUAGGUUCGGAAUAACUCCCCGAAAGGGGUGCUAAUACCGGAUAAUGUCUUCGGACCAAAGAUUUAUCGCCUUUGGAUGGGCCCGCGUUGGAUUAGCUAGUUGGUAGGGUAAAAGCCUACCAAGGCGACGAUCCAUAGCUGGUCUGAGAGGAUGACCAGCCACACUGGGACUGAGACACGGCCCAGACUCCUACGGGAGGCAGCAGUGGGGAAUAUUGUACGAUGAGCGAAAGCCUGAUCAAGCAAUGCCGCGUGAGUGAUGAAGGCCUUAGGGUUGUAAAGCUCUUUUACCCGGGAUGAUAAUGACAGUACCGGGAGAAUAAGCUCCGGCUAACUCCGUG
This 433-nucleotide ribosomal RNA is filed under the name uncultured bacterium. RNAcentral's name for it is "partial 16S ribosomal RNA". It matches the Rfam family "Bacterial small subunit ribosomal RNA", at positions 29 to 507 of the family's 1533-position model. The record is from RNAcentral.